CCGCGUGAGGGAAGACUGCCUAUGGGUUGUAAACCUCUUUUUUCAGGGAGGAAUAAAUGACGUGUACCUGAAGAAUAAGCAUCGGCUAACUCCGUGCCAGCAGCCGCGGUAAGACGGAGGAUGCAAGUGUUAUCCGGAAUCACUGGGCGUAAAGCGUCUGUAGGUGGCCUAAUAAGUCAACUGUUAAAUCUUGAGGCUCAACUUCAAAAUCGCAGUCGAAACUAUUAGACUAGAGUAUAGUAGAGGUAAAGGGAAUUUCCAGUGGAGCGGUGAAAUGCGUAGAUAUUGGAAAGAACACCGAUGGCGAAAGCACUUUACUGGGCUAUUACUAACACUCAGAGACGAAAGCUAGGGUAGCAAAUGGGAUUAGAUACCCCAGUAGUCCUAGCCGUAAACAAUGGAUACUAGAUGUUGAACAGAUCGACCUGUGCAGUAUCAAAGCUAACGCGUUAAGUAUCCCGCCUGGGAAGUAUGCUCGCAAGAGUGAAACUCAAAGGAAUUGACGG
Molecule: ribosomal RNA, 506 nt
Filed under: uncultured eukaryote
Lineage: Eukaryota
Description: bacterial SSU rRNA
Rfam family: Bacterial small subunit ribosomal RNA
Source: RNAcentral